AAGCGGCUAACUAUGGCGACCGCCACGGAGCAGUGGGUUCUGGUGGAGAUGGUACAGGCGCUUUACGAGCUCCGGAAAGGAACACGUGUAAGGGACGCAGGAGACAGGUCUGCAAAAACCAGAGUUUAGACGGACGAUAAACGGAGUGUGAAAAUGAGUGGAACACCUUCGUCUGGGAAGGUCCUAAGGAAGUCAGCUCUUUGGAACUACGGCUCCUGCUUACCAUCUUAUUUUGGAAGGGAUUCUGAUCCUCUGGAUAAUCAGACUUCUUUUCUCUAAGACUUACAAAUUACAAGAACGAUCUGAUCUUACAGUCAAGGAAAAAGAAGAACUGAUUGAAGAGUGGCAACCAGAACCUCUUGUUCCUCCCGUCCCAAAAGACCAUCCUGCUCUCAACUACAACAUCGUUUCAGGGUAAAUACAAUAUUACAAAUGCAUCUUAAGAAAUUCCUUCACAUCCGUCACUUACUCUUGCCUCUCAUACGGAUAACCACUGUCUUGAAGUUGGUGAUUGUGUUUUCUUUGCCUGUAUUUAUAAUUUUACCAUAUAUGCCUGUUGCCAUAAAAAUACUCGGUUUAUUUUAAAAUGUGAUACGAGAUAUUUUCCUGAGUAUUAUUGUUCUGAUUCUGAUCUGAUCAAACAGGAGCUUCUAUUCUUUACUUCUGUAGAUCUCUUCAGUCUU
This 683-nucleotide small RNA is filed under the name Pan troglodytes (chimpanzee). RNAcentral describes it as "processed transcript". Lineage: Eukaryota; Metazoa; Chordata; Mammalia; Primates; Hominidae. The record is from RNAcentral.